This 460-nucleotide ribosomal RNA is filed under the name uncultured bacterium. RNAcentral's name for it is "partial 16S ribosomal RNA". It matches the Rfam family "Bacterial small subunit ribosomal RNA", at positions 338 to 795 of the family's 1533-position model. The record is from RNAcentral.
CCUACGGGAGGCAGCAGUGAGGAAUAUUGGUCAAUGGACGAGAGUCUGAACCAGCCAAGUAGCGUGAAGGAUGACUGCCCUAUGGUUUGUACACUUCUUUUAUAUGGGAAUAAAAUGUUCCACGUCUUGGAUUUUGUAUGUACCAUAUGAAUAAGGAUCGGCUAACUCCUUGCCAGCAGCCGCGGUAAUACGGAGGAUCCGAGCGUUAUCCGGAUUUAUUGGGUUUACAGGGAGAGUAGGUGGAAUGUUAAGUCAGUUGUGAAAUGUUGCGGCUCAACCGUUAAAGUGCAGUUGAAACUGGCAGUCUUGAGUACAGUAGAGGUGGGCGGAAUUCGUGGUGUAGCGGUGAAAUGCUUAGAGAUCACGAAGAACUCCGAUUGCGAAGGCAGCUCACUGGACUGCAACUGACACUGAGGCUCGAAAGUGUGGGUAUCAAACAGGAUUAGAGACCCCGGUAGUC